Monopterus albus (swamp eel) is the source of this 345-nucleotide long non-coding RNA. RefSeq lists it as uncharacterized. NCBI's taxonomy places the organism in Eukaryota, Metazoa, Chordata, Actinopteri, Synbranchiformes, Synbranchidae. The record is from RefSeq and is a predicted model, not a curated record. The transcript is spliced from 2 exons.
AAGAUACAAGGAUCUCAAGACACCUAAGAUAAGCAUCUUUCAGUAUUCAGAGCUUCCUUACAAGUUCUAUUUAAAUGAAUGUUUGCACAACUACCAUGCAAACAUCCGUACUGGCUUCGCUCUUCUAAAAAUCACUGUUUCUCUAGCUCUCUUUUAAACAGGCGGAUGUGUCUUCCAGUGAUCAAGCUCUUGCUUUGCCCUCUGUGUGCUGUAGCUCUGCUCUCUGUGUCUGUCCUAUCUGUAAGUAAGGCUGCCUCUGCACAGAAAACUACAACACAACAAGAGAAACAUACAACGGAUGAUUCUCUCAACUAUGCUUCUCUGCACUUUGAGAAUAAGCACAAG